RNAcentral lists this ribosomal RNA (507 nucleotides) under uncultured bacterium. RNAcentral's name for it is "partial 16S ribosomal RNA". The record is from RNAcentral.
GGAGUUAGCCGGUGCUUCUUCUGUGAGUGAUGUCCUUCCUGCCGGUUAUUGACCCGCAGGCCUUCUUCCUCACUGAAAGUGCUUUACAACCCGAAGGCCUUCUUCACACACGCGGCAUGGCUGGAUCAGGGUUGCCCCCAUUGUCCAAUAUUCCCCACUGCUGCCUCCCGUAGGAGUCUGGGCCGUGUCUCAGUCCCAGUGUGGCUGAUCAUCCUCUCAGACCAGCUACGGAUCGUCGCCUUGGUGAGCCGUUACCUCACCAACCAGCUAAUCCGACAUAGGCUCAUCCGAUAGCGCGAGGCCCGAAGGUCCCCCGCUUUCCCCCGUAGGGCGUAUGCGGUAUUAGCCUGGGUUUCCCCAGGUUAUCCCCCACUACCGGGCAGAUUCCUAUGCAUUACUCACCCGUCCGCCGCUCGCCACCAGGGAGCAAGCUCCCCGUGCUGCCGCUCGACUUGCAUGUGUUAGGCCUGCCGCCAGCGUUCAAUCUGAGCCAUGAUCAAACUCUGA